CCUACGGGGAGCAGCAGUGAGGAAUAUUGGUCAAUGGACGAGAGUCUGAACCAGCCAAGUAGCGUGAAGGAUGACUGCCCUAUGGGUUGUAAACUUCUUUUAUAUGGGAAUAAAAUGUUCCCCGGGUGGGAUGUUGUAUGUACCAUAUGAAUAAGGAUCGGCUAACUCCGUUCCAGCAGCCGCGGUAAUACGGAGGAUACGAGCGUUAUCCGUAUUGAUUGGGUUUAAAGGGAGCGUAGGCAGAUUGUUAAGUCAGUUGUGAAAGUUUGCGGCUCAACCGUAAAAUUGCAGUUGAAACUGGACGUCGUGAGUACAGUAGAGGUGGGCGGAAUUCGUGGUGUAGCGGUGAAAUGCU
This 355-nucleotide ribosomal RNA is filed under the name uncultured bacterium. Its description in RNAcentral is "partial 16S ribosomal RNA". It matches the Rfam family "Bacterial small subunit ribosomal RNA", at positions 338 to 690 of the family's 1533-position model. The record is from RNAcentral.